This 253-nucleotide ribosomal RNA is filed under the name uncultured prokaryote. RNAcentral's name for it is "partial 16S ribosomal RNA". It matches the Rfam family "Bacterial small subunit ribosomal RNA", at positions 524 to 776 of the family's 1533-position model. The record is from RNAcentral.
UACGUAGGUGGCAAGCGUUGUUCGGAAUUACUGGGCGUAAAGCGCGCGUAGGCGGCUCUUCAAGUCAGGCGUGAAAGCCCCGGGCUUAACUCGGGAACUGCGCUUGAUACUGUCGAGCUAGAGUGUGGAAGGGGCGAUUGGAAUUCCGUGUGUAGCGGUGAAAUGCGUAGAUAUGCGGAGGAACACCGAUGGCGAAGGCAAUCCCCUGGGCCUGCACUGACGCUCAUGCACGAAAGCGUGGGGAGCAAACAGG